UCCGUUCUUGCCAGCAGGACCAACAGGGCCGGGGGCACCGGGGGCACCGGGAGCACCAGGGGGGCCGGCAGGGCCAGUCUCACCACGGUCACCCUGUGAGGAGGAAGAGGAAGAAGAGGAAGAGGAGGAAGAGGAGAGGGGGUCCGGCGCUUCCGCGAGCACCUUUGGGACCAGGAGCACCAACAGCACCCUGCGGGGGAGGAAGAGGAGGAAGAGGAGGAGACACGGGCACCCACCUUGGGACCGGCGAUGCCGUCAGCGCCAGGGAAACCACGGCUGCCGGGAGCACCCUGCGAGGGACACCAGAGGGGGCCGGGGGGACCUUGGACACCAGCGGGACCCUGGGGGAGGAGACGAAGGGAUGAGCACCCACAGGAUGUGCUGGGGCCAAGAGGGACCGAGACCCCAAGGUGACACUGAGGAAUCACUUACGGGUUCGCCUUUGGCACCAGUGUCACCCUUGUUGCCUGGAGCACCGGGCUCACCCUGGAGGUGGAUGGAGAGAAGAAGGAAAAGCUGUUUAACACCAGAUUGAGGAGCAGAGGGAGACCUGAGCCACAUCCUGAUCACCCCUCAGAGGCAGGAGGGUGCUCAGCAUCUGUCACCCCCCAGCACCACCCUGCCCUGACAGGGACCAGAGGACACCAGAGGAGGCACCUCCAGGUAGGACAUCAGCUUGCUGGAGCAGAGAAAGGGAUCCAACCCCAGGAAGAAGAAGAUGGAGGUGUCCAGGGAUACUCACAGCGUUACCCUUGGGACCGGGGGCACCACUGGGAC
Long non-coding RNA from Pseudopipra pipra, 777 nucleotides. RefSeq lists it as uncharacterized. The record is from RefSeq and is a predicted model, not a curated record. The transcript has 4 exons. NCBI's taxonomy places the organism in Eukaryota, Metazoa, Chordata, Aves, Passeriformes, Pipridae.